UUCCCCGCGUUGAUCAUCUGAAGACCCCGGUAACGAUGGCCCACGCUGAUCCUGAUCCUGACUCUGGCCUUGUUCAACAUGUAAGCUUCCGAGAUCCUUCCCAUCGUGGACUUUUCGCUAACCCCAAUCCCAAUCCAUUGAUUUAUGUUCACAAUUUGACUUUGAGGGCUUCAAAGAUGAAGACUUAAUCCAAGUAACAAGCGGAUUCCACUGUCGCUUCUUUCAUUUGGAACUCCUGUAGCUCCUCGGUGGUCGAAGAUGGAGUCCGAUAAGAUUAAAGGGGUCGUCAUAAUCACUCUUCCGCCACCGGACAAUCCGUCGUUGGGUAAAUCCAUCACUGCUUUUACACUCACCGACGACUUCUCGGAACCUCCCCGCGAAUCCGUUGUAGUUGGUCAAGAAGAACAGGAACCCAACCGCAACCAUUUGACUCUCCCACUGGAUCUUCCGAUUCAGACCCCUUCUAAUCAGCGAAGUAUUCCUUUGUCGAGGGAGCUUUUUGCUGGUACUCCUAGAAAGCUCGUCGUCUUAUUAAGCAUUGCCCUCGUUGCUAUUUAUCUUUAUUCUUCCAGUUUUCCUGAGACCCUUCAGGAACUUCGUAGUUCCGAGAAGAAUGAUGAUGAUCGCCGUACUUCCUUGUUGUUUCCCCUUUAUUUCCAAUCGGAGUUGGGUGACAGCAGUGAUUUCCAGCUUAAGUUGGGCAGGACUAAGGGCCUAAAUAAGGAUGAUCUGAGUGCAGCUUUCAAUGAUGUACUUGGAGUUCCGAAGCCUACCAAAUUGAUUUCUUCCACUUUAAAAUCUGAUUCUUCAGCCGUUUUUCCUGUGCGUGGAGAUAUUUAUCCAGAUGGAUUGUAUUAUACUUACAUAAUGGUUGGAGAGCCACCAAGACCUUACUUCCUCGACAUUGAUACUGGGAGCGACUUGACAUGGGUUCAGUGUGACGCUCCUUGCACCAGUUGUGGCAAGGGAAGAAGUCCGUUAUACAAGCCAAAAAGAGAGAACGUUGUAUCUUUCAAGGACUCUUUGUGCAUGGAAGUUCAAAGAAAUUAUAAUGGCGAUCAGUGUGCAACCUGCCAUCAGUGUGACUACGAGAUUCAAUAUGCUGACCAGAGCUCCUCUCUAGGGGUUCUUGUUAAAGAUGAGUUUACCUUAAAGUUCUCCAAUGGAUCAUUGACCAAGUUGAAUGCCAUUUUCGGGUGUGCAUAUGAUCAGCAAGGCGUGCUAUUGAACACGUUGUCCAAGACUGAUGGCAUUCUAGGACUAAGCAGGGCUAAAGUUAGUUUACCUUCCCAGUUGGCGAGUCAAGGGAUCAUAAACAAUGUGGUAGGUCACUGUCUUACCGGUGAUCCAGCAAGUGGUGGAUAUAUGUUUCUAGGUGAUGAUUUUGUGCCACAGUGGGGGAUGGCAUGGGUUGCCAUGCUUGACAGCCCUUCCAUAGAUUUUUAUCAAACAAAGGUUGUGAGGAUAGAUUAUGGAAGCAGCCCACUGAGUUUUGAUACUUGGGGUAGCAACCGUGGACGAGUAGUUUUCGAUAGUGGCAGCUCGUACACCUACUUCACAAAAGAAGCAUAUUCUCAAUUGGUUGCAUCUCUUGAAGAACUCUCAGCGUUUGGACUUAUUGUUCAAGAUUCAUCAGAUAUCAUUUGUUGGAGAACUGAAUCUUCUAUCAGAUCUGUUAAAGAUGUCAAGCAGUUCUUCAAGCCUUUAACGCUUCAGUUCGAGAGCAGAUUUUGGAUUGUGUCCACAAAACUUGAGAUUCCUCCAGAGAAUUAUUUAGUCAUCAAUAAAGAAGGAAAUGUAUGCUUGGGAAUUCUUGAUGGAAGCCAGGUACAUGAUGGGUCCACAACCAUUCUUGGAGACAACGCAUUGCGUGGGAAGUUGGUCGUUUACGACAACGUGAAUAACAGGAUUGGAUGGACUUCAUCCGACUGUCACAAUCCGAGAAGAAUGAAACGCCUCCCACUCUUUUGAUACACUGUCAGUCUACAGAUAAACUACGUAGUCGUUGUUACAUGGCAUGCCUAGAUUCCUCUGUCUAUGAAUACGAAUUGCUCAUUUGUGAAUAAAAUACUUGGUCAUAGUUGGAUUGGCAUUUCCAGGCAUUGAUGAUGAAGGGUCCUUGGAUAUCAUUGUUUUCAGUGAAGUGAACCAUCAAAGUUGACUCCAUAUGAUUAUAAAUGGUCACUUGCCAUCGAGAAAAUGGAAGCUGUACCUUGGAUUCUGCAGGUUCUGCAAAACAUGGCUUCAUGAGCAUGUUUGAUCCCAAACCCAACAAUAAAAUGAAACAUAAUGUGUUUACAGACUCCAUUUUCUAUGGAGUUUGGUCACUUUUUUUUCCCUUUUUGACAAAACCCUUCUUUGUUUUGUUUUAUAUAUACCCAAAUUGAGUUGCUAUAAUGGCAUGUUUCACCUUAAUUUUC
RNA transcript from Cucurbita moschata (crookneck pumpkin), 2420 nucleotides. It is a transcript of the gene named aspartyl protease APCB1, with no coding region annotated. The transcript has 11 exons. The record is from RefSeq and is a predicted model, not a curated record. NCBI's taxonomy places the organism in Eukaryota, Viridiplantae, Streptophyta, Magnoliopsida, Cucurbitales, Cucurbitaceae.